UACGUAGGGUGCGAGCGUUGUCCGGAAUUAUUGGGCGUAAAGAGCUUGUAGGCGGUUUGCGCGUCUGCUGUGAAAUUCCAGGGCUUAACCCUGGGCUUGCAGUGGGUACGGGCAGACUAGAGUGCGGUAGGGGAGACUGGAAUUCCUGGUGUAGCGGUGAAAUGCGCAGAUAUCAGGAGGAACACCGGUGGCGAAGGCGGGUCUCUGGGCCGUAACUGACGCUGAGGAGCGAAAGCGUGGGGAGCGAACAGG
RNAcentral lists this ribosomal RNA (252 nucleotides) under uncultured bacterium. RNAcentral describes it as "partial 16S ribosomal RNA". It matches the Rfam family "Bacterial small subunit ribosomal RNA", at positions 524 to 776 of the family's 1533-position model. The record is from RNAcentral.